GUAGACUUCUCUAUGAUAUGCAAGAUGCACCUUCAUUUAAUAUUGAAGUAUUUACUGAAGAUGCAACCAUGAAAGCAAAAGUGAAGCGAGUGUGCAUUAACUAUAGUGUUGAGUCUGUUGAGGUGCGUAUUAACUAAAGUGUUGAGUUUGUUGAGGAAGUCGAGAGGGCCCUAAAACAAGAGUAGUGAAUGACUGACUUAGCCAGGUAGAGGUCUAUUGCUGAUGAGCUAGUGAGACGGGAUAGGGACCGGUAGUGAGUUGUAGAAGGAUUGAGUUCGGUACAAGUUUCCAUAGAUGCUACCCCAGUUGAGUUUGAGAUACCGGUCAAUACUAUAAGUUCCACACUUGUGGACUGAUCUACUAUAAAUACGAACACAGGCACCUAGACAUCAUAGUUGUUUUACAGGAAAAUAGGAUUUGGAGUCUAAGUAUUAAAUGAAAGAGGUAGCAGGAAAAUUUGUCUAUCUACAAGACACUCUACGGAUAGAGGUUUAAUCUAUGAGCCAUAGAUAGCAGUCGUAGUAGAGAUUCAGAAACUUAAAGAAAAAUCCUGAGUUUGAGGAGUGAGAUAUAUAACCCGUAAAGGUUUGUACGACCCAUAGAAUGGGUUCAUGGUGGAAGUUCAGAAAAGGGUCAAAAUGCAUGAUUUGUAUGAUGAGUAGUAUGAGUUGUAAAAGAUAGUACGAUGCAUAAAAAGCUCUCAUAUUUGAUAUUCAGAAAGUUUGGAAAAGAGCUUGAGUUCUAUGAGAGCAUAUUACGAGCUGUAAAAUAUUUCAUGGAUCGUAGUUUUUUCCAUGGGAAAAUUUAUGAGACUAUGCACAACAUGCAGUCUACAAAAGGUGUCUACGGGCCGCACCAAGGAUUAUAACCCAUAUUAGGGCCCGUAAAAGCUACCAAAUCCAAUUUUUCUAGUUAUUUUGGAUUGGUUUUCUAUAUCUAUAAAUAAUUUUCCUACGUUUUAUUUUAUUUUUUUAUGCAUCAUUUUAGUUCUAGGAAUAGGAGAAAACAAGUACUUAGAUUUUAUUCAUGUAUUUUAGAGAUUAAUCACACAUUGAUCUUUGGUUUUUGACUUUGAAUUUCAACUCAAGAUUCUGAAUUUUCAA
Molecule: long non-coding RNA, 1103 nt
Organism: Solanum dulcamara
Lineage: Eukaryota; Viridiplantae; Streptophyta; Magnoliopsida; Solanales; Solanaceae
Exons: 2
Source: RefSeq, a predicted model, not a curated record